AAGACCUUGCGCUUUUGGAGCGGCCGAUGCCUGAUUAGCUUGUUGGUAAGGUAAAAGCUUACCAAGGCUUCGAUCAGUAGCUGGUCUGAGAGGACGACCAGCCACACUGGGACUGAGACACGGCCCAGACUCCUACGGGAGGCAGCAGUGGGGAAUUUUGGACAAUGGGGGCAACCCUGAUCCAGCCAUGCCGCGUGAGUGAAGAAGGCCUUCGGGUUGUAAAGCUCUUUCAGCCGGAACGAAACGGUUACGGAUAACACCCGUGACUACUGACGGUACCGGAAGAAGAAGCACCGGCUAACUACGUGCCAGCAGCCGCGGUAAUACGUAGGGUGCGAGCGUUAAUCGGAAUUACUGGGCGUAAAGCGUGCGCAGGUGGUUUCGUAAGUCAGAUGUGAAAGCCCCGGGCUCAACCUGGGAACU
This 423-nucleotide ribosomal RNA is filed under the name uncultured bacterium. RNAcentral's name for it is "bacterial SSU rRNA". It matches the Rfam family "Bacterial small subunit ribosomal RNA", at positions 207 to 622 of the family's 1533-position model. The record is from RNAcentral.